RNAcentral lists this ribosomal RNA (302 nucleotides) under uncultured Pantoea sp. RNAcentral's name for it is "bacterial SSU rRNA". It matches the Rfam family "Bacterial small subunit ribosomal RNA", at positions 30 to 328 of the family's 1533-position model. The record is from RNAcentral. Lineage: Bacteria; Pseudomonadati; Pseudomonadota; Gammaproteobacteria; Enterobacterales; Erwiniaceae.
CGAACGCUGGCGGCAGGCCUAACACAUGCAAGUCGAACGGCAGCACAGAAGAGCUUGCUCUUUGGGUGGCGAGUGGCGGACGGGUGAGUAAUGUCUGGGAAACUGCCCGAUGGAGGGGGAUAACUACUGGAAACGGUAGCUAAUACCGCAUAACGUCGCAAGACCAAAGUGGGGGACCUUCGGGCCUCACACCAUCGGAUGUGCCCAGAUGGGAUUAGCUAGUAGGUGGGGUAAUGGCUCACCUAGGCGACGAUCCCUAGCUGGUCUGAGAGGAUGACCAGCCACACUGGAACUGAGACACG